Molecule: long non-coding RNA, 607 nt
Organism: Melopsittacus undulatus (budgerigar)
Lineage: Eukaryota; Metazoa; Chordata; Aves; Psittaciformes; Psittaculidae
Source: Ensembl
GAGACAAUGAGGAGGUUUCCCUUUCCUAUAUCUCCCCACCUUUUCCCUCUUGUUGAGGGGGCAGGAAUCUGGUUCUGUGCUUGGAGAAGCAGCAAACAGAGAGCUUGUUUCCUUGUAAAUGGCGGCAUGUUCAUGUCCAUGUGCUUCCAAGGAAGGGUGGAGAUUUCAGCAGGAAUGACGAUGUCUAUGAGGAGUUGCAGCAACAUGACAAAGAGGAUUCCCCUGACAAGUGGAGGACAGAGGAAGAAAUGGCAGCUGAAGCAGCAAUUUUGAAGAAGUAUUUUCAGGAAAAUUAGAGGUAACAAAGUGUAAAACAUCCUGUGCCAUAAGAAACUCUCCAGGAAGACGGGCCUUAUGCUCCAGUUCCAGGUGAUCCCGGAGCUGCAGCUGAACAACUUCAUGAUGGUCUACAAAUAUGGGAAUUUUUCGUGAACAAUUUUAUUGGAUGUUUGGAUAUCGCCAAGGUUGAAUUUCAGCUAAAACAACUAAGAGCACUGAGUUAAAAUACUGCUAACACGUAUCUUCCUAAUUGUGUAUUUGGGAAGGAAUCUUUUUAAGUUGUCCUUUGGCCUAAAUUGAAAUAAAGUGCUGGCAAAAUCAGGUAGCU